This 28-nucleotide small RNA is filed under the name Bombyx mori (domestic silkworm). RNAcentral describes it as "ovarian small RNA-15512". The record is from RNAcentral. Lineage: Eukaryota; Metazoa; Arthropoda; Insecta; Lepidoptera; Bombycidae.
GACCUCUUUGUCGCCAUGCGACAGUAUA